Molecule: ribosomal RNA, 346 nt
Filed under: Microbacterium sp.
Lineage: Bacteria; Bacillati; Actinomycetota; Actinomycetes; Micrococcales; Microbacteriaceae
Description: bacterial SSU rRNA
Rfam family: Bacterial small subunit ribosomal RNA
Source: RNAcentral
CCCGCACAAGCGGCGGAGCAUGCGGAUUAAUUCGAUGCAACGCGAAGAACCUUACCAAGGCUUGACAUACACCAGAACGGGCCAGAAAUGGUCAACUCUUUGGACACUGGUGAACAGGUAAACAUGGUUGUCGUCAGCUCGUGUCGUGAGAUGUUGGGUUAAGUCCCGCAACGAGCGCAACCCUCGUUCUAUGUUGCCAGCACGUAAUGGUGGGAACUCAUGGGAUACUGCCGGGGUCAACUCGGAGGAAGGUGGGGAUGACGUCAAAUCAUCAUGCCCCUUAUGUCUUGGGCUUCACGCAUGCUACAAUGGCCGGUACAAAGGGCGGCAAUACCGUGAGGUGGAG